GUUCCUUCAAAGACAUCCGAUAAAAUUGAAACAAUAUAGAGAAGAUCAGCAUGAGCCCUAUGCAAGGAUGACAUGCACAAAUCGAAAAAAGAAUUUUUUU
Molecule: small nuclear RNA, 100 nt
Organism: Medicago truncatula (barrel medic)
Lineage: Eukaryota; Viridiplantae; Streptophyta; Magnoliopsida; Fabales; Fabaceae
Source: Rfam